RNAcentral lists this ribosomal RNA (635 nucleotides) under uncultured bacterium. RNAcentral's name for it is "bacterial SSU rRNA". It matches the Rfam family "Bacterial small subunit ribosomal RNA", at positions 8 to 694 of the family's 1533-position model. The record is from RNAcentral.
AGAGUUUGAUCCUGGCUCAGAACGAACGCUGGCGGCAGGCCUAACACAUGCAAGUCGAGCGCCCGCAAGGGAGCGGCAGACGGGUGAGUAACGCGUGGGAACGUGCCCUUUGGUUCGGAAUAUUCCCGGGAAACUGGGAGCAAAACCGGAUAAGCCCUUCGGGGGAAAGUUUACGCCAAAGGAUCGGCCCGCGUUAGAUUAGGUAGUUGGUGGGGUAACGGCCUACCAAGCCUACGAUCUAUAGCUGAUCUGAGAGGAUGAUCAGCCACACUGGGACUGAGACACGGCCCAGACUCCUACGGGAGGCAGCAGUGGGGAAUCUUGGACAAUGGGCGCAAGCCUGAUCCAGCCAUGCCGCGUGGAUGACUGAAGGCCCUAGGGUUGUAAAGUCCUUUCGACGGGGACGAUAAUGACGGUACCCGUAGAAGAAGCCCCGGCUAACUUCGUGCCAGCAGCCGCGGUAAUACGAAGGGGGCUAGCGUUGUUCGGAUUUACUGGGCGUAAAGGGCGCGUAGGCGGAUUUUUAAGUCGGGGGUGAAAUCCCGGAGCUCAACUCCGGAACUGCCUUCGAUACUGGAAGUCUGGAGCACGGUAGAGGUGAGUGGAAUUCCGAAUGUAGCGGUGAAAUGCGUAGA